GACGAACCGUCCUAACGUUGUUCGGAAUCACUGGGCUUAAAGGGCGCGUAGGCGGCCCGCCGAGUCGGGGGUGAAAUCCCACGGCCCAACCGUGGAAGGGCCUCCGAUACUGACGGGCUCGAGGGAGGUAGGGGCAGGUGGAACUUCCGGUGGAGCGGUGAAAUGCGUUGAUAUCGGAAGGAACGCCGGUGGCGAAAGCGACCUGCUGGACCUCUGCUGACGCUGAGGCGCGAAAGCCAGGGGAGCGAACGGG
RNAcentral lists this ribosomal RNA (253 nucleotides) under uncultured bacterium. RNAcentral describes it as "partial 16S ribosomal RNA". It matches the Rfam family "Bacterial small subunit ribosomal RNA", at positions 524 to 776 of the family's 1533-position model. The record is from RNAcentral.